AGUAAAUUUGCAGGGGCCUGGUUGUCAACUGCUUAAAAUAAUGACAGCAGUGGGGUCCCCUCCCAGUGCAAAGUGACCACCAGCAGCUCGGCCCAAAUUAACCCCGACUGACUCCCCAGGCUUCUCCACCCCAGGCCAUGGUGCCUCACCCUAGGGGAGGUCAAAGUGUGAGGGCUGGGCCAAAACCUUCCACUCCUCCUGCCAGGCCUGGGACCUGGGGGGGAGCGCUGUCCGCAGACACUUGGAGGAACCCUCACGGUCCAAGCCCGCUUAUGGUUUAUAUACUGAGAAGGGAGUCUCACGGGAGAAAAUCUGGAGGAGAAAAGAGGAGUUCAUAGCCCCAAACAUUUUUCAUCAUCAUUGCAGUAGGGCGUCAAUCUGCCAUCUGUAAACCCAGACUGUAAAGUGGACCUAGCUGUCUUUAUUGUUUCUGAUUUGAAUUAAUUUCUGGCUGAAACCUACAUUCCACUGACUGUUGGGAAAUGUUACCAUUGGGUUCCUUCCCUUACCUCUGUGAUGUGCCAUAGUUCUGGGAUCCUACAAAGUGCUGACCUGCCUAGAUUGGAAUGUCCAGGUGACCACUGAGGCAUCUACUGUCCAAGUCCACGUGGGGCCGUGGUCUGGUGGGUCUCUGCUGCUUGUGUCCCACACUUGAGGCACAGAAUUCUUUGACUAGGCUGCCUGGCCCUUCUGCCUGGAUGCACCAUGCACCACUCCUCUGGGGUCCUGCUGCCCCCCUGUACUCCCCACCGCCUGGUCUCUGCCAUGCCUGGAUGCACAGUCCUCUUUCCUCUCCUCCUAAGCUGGAAGGAGCCAUCUUUUCCCAGGAUGGGAGUGAAACUCCAAACUCAACUUGGCUCCUUCAAGAUAUUCCGUUUCUAUCAGCAAGGCCUGUUCUCCCUCUUAACUCUUCCCAGAACCCGAGGAAUCACUUUCGGGAGACAAAAGCCAGAAGGACUGUGGAUGACUUCUGCCUUUCAGCCUGCUCCCACCUCGUGAGGCAAGAAGCACGCAAGAGACGAGAUUUCAGAACACCGAGUGGAAGGCAUCAGGGAAUUCAUAGUUCCGUCAGAGAGAAGGUGUAAAUUCUGAAGUACUUGGCACAGAGACAUUUACAAAUGGAUUGUUUCAAACCCACACUGGUCAAUCAAUUGUUUGGAAUUUGAAAUGUAUUUUUUUUUUUUCAAAAAAAUGUUAUAAACACUGGUUUGCUUUCCAGGCAAGCCCAGAGAUACUAUGGUGAAAACAAAACUUUUUAUUUCUCUUAAUACCAUUGGAACAGAGAAGAAAUGCUAACAAAGUCAUAGCUUCAAUCAUAUUUGUUUAGUUUUGUUUGAGAUCUGAAGAAAUCGUUUGGAUUUUUCAAAGGUUUUAGACGCUUAGGGAAUCAGCUGCUUGUGUUAUGUCCAUUUUUACUUCCUUCUUUCUUCUUGAUGCUAUAGUCAGUGCCAAUAAUCUUGGGGAUGUCAGCUACAAUCAUAGGCAAGGGAGAAAGGGCUCAAAAACACCAGAAACAGAAUGGGAAAAUUUUGAGAGAAACUGAGGUAUCUUACAGGAAAUUAAAGAGAAACGGGAAGGAGAAGAGGAGUCAAAGUGAGGGGUGUGCUUGUGAUAAAGAGGUUCCUUGAGGUGUAGUUAAUGGAGUUGAGAAAUGAGGAAGACGUGCAGAAUCACUCCAAGGAGAAGGCAGGAGAGAAGUGUGCAGAAAUCAAAACCCAAAUGCCUUCAGGGCCCAGACAGGUACAGGAAAGGAGCAGGCUGGGGAUGAAAGAACGGGAAAUAGUGGGGAGCAUGGCAAACCAGAGAGUUCGGGAAGUUCUAAUUUGAUUUUUUGUAAAACAUCAGUGUGAGCCUAACCAAAUACCGCUGCAAGCUGAGUUGUAUCUGUCGGCCACCUUUCAGAAUCUUUGGCAAAGAGAUUAAAAGCAGGAGAUCUGGAGUCAGACUGCCUGGGUUCAUCACCUGCUUCACCACUUAGUGGUCUGUGACCUCACUUUCCUCGUCUGUAUACCGAUAUUUCUGACUUCAUAGGAUUGUUGUGAAGUAUGACGACAUAGGUGAGAG
This 2064-nucleotide long non-coding RNA is filed under the name Equus caballus (horse). RNAcentral describes it as "lncRNA (ENSECAG00000054365.1)". The record is from RNAcentral. Lineage: Eukaryota; Metazoa; Chordata; Mammalia; Perissodactyla; Equidae.